This 468-nucleotide ribosomal RNA is filed under the name uncultured bacterium. RNAcentral describes it as "partial 16S ribosomal RNA". It matches the Rfam family "Bacterial small subunit ribosomal RNA", at positions 28 to 507 of the family's 1533-position model. The record is from RNAcentral.
GACGAACGCUGGCGGCGUGCUUAACACAUGCAAGUCGAACGGAAAGGCGCUGCUCUUGUGGGGUGCUCGAUUGGGGAACGGGGGAGUAAAACGUGAGUAACCUGCCCUUGACUUUGUGGUAACUUCAGGAAACUGGGGCUAAAACCGGGGAGGAUCUCCUGCUGCAUGUGGGGGGUUGGAAAGUUACGGCGGUUCGGGAUGGACUCGCGGGUUAUCAGCUGGUUGGUGGAGUUGGGGCUUCCCAAGGCUUUGACGGGUAGCCUGCCUGAGAGGGGGACCAGCCACAUUGGUACUGAGAUACGGCGCAGUCUGCUAUGGGACGCAGCAGUGGGGAGUAUUGCGCAAUGAGCGGAAGCCUGAUGUGACGGCGCUGCGUGCGGGAUGACGGCCUUCGAGUUGUAAACAGCUUUCGCAUUUGACGAGGCGUGAGUGACGGUAAUGGGUAAAGAAGCCCCGGCUAACUACGUG